Molecule: long non-coding RNA, 2287 nt
Filed under: Sus scrofa (pig)
Lineage: Eukaryota; Metazoa; Chordata; Mammalia; Artiodactyla; Suidae
Description: lncRNA (ENSSSCG00060026677.1)
Source: RNAcentral
UACAAAUAAGACAGAGAAAGCUACAGCGGCUUCUGCAGUUCUCCUGAGACCCAGCGGAAAGGGGAAACAGACCUCAGAUUUGCAGAUAUGUUGUUAGGAAUUUACUGAGAACCACUGGAGAAUCCAAGAGAUGAAAUGCAUAAGGAGGUUCUCUUAGAUCCAUGUUGGGAAGAAUUUUUUGAGAAUCAGAGGUGCAAAAACAGGUUGGAGAUACACCAUCCAAAUGCAAUGCUGGAAACUUGUAGGUUACUUCAAGCUACGGUGUAGGUUGCCGAGGUCACUUGGAUCCCAAGUUGCUGUGGCUGUGGUGUCGACCAGCAGCGGUAGCUCCGAUUCGACUCCCUAGCCUGGGAACUUACAUAUGCUGCAGGCUAAGAAAAUGGCUUAUACCUGGUGUGUUGCAUGCCUACAACGAUCAAAGACCUCAUUGAAAAAAAAACCGGGAACACGUCCCAAGCCCAAGCUAUUGCUUUGCUCUGAAAGGGCAUAUGGAAGCUCCCAGGCUAGGAGUUGAAUGGGAGCUGCGGCUGUCGGCUGCUGCGAGAGCAAUGUGGGAUCUGAGCCAGAGAUGUCCAAGGUCAAUGGCAGUGACUGACCUUGACCAUGAUGAUGGCGCACAGAGGCUGUGAAGUCAGAAGCGUUUGGAGUCCUGCGGUUUCCACGUGGGCCAGCUGUGCUUGGGCAAUUCCGGUCAAGCCAGAUGCCAAAACCCAUUGCAGACACAGGAAGAGCCUCAUCGUCAAGUCUCCAAACAAGCAGUCGAAAAUCAAAAGAGAAGGUAAGUUAUGUUCUCUCUCCCCAUUCUACCAAAAUAUUUUUCUCCUGAGCGCGGAUGAGCUUUCUGGUUUUUCCUUUGUGCUUCAUAGCAGAGGAAGAUGCCACUGAUGUUAUAUUGUGCAUACGUGAAAUAAUUUUUUACUUUUUUUUUUCUUUUUGUUUUUGUUCUUUUUUUUUCCUUUUUUCUUUUUUUUUACCUGGGAACUUCCCUAUGCCACCAGUGCGGCCCUAAAAUAAAAAAUAAAUAAAUUAAUUAAAAAAGUCAAAAAUUUAAAAAAAAAGAAUGUAUAUAUAUGUAUGACUGAAUCCCUUUGCUAUACAGCAGAAAUUAACACAGCAUUGUCAAUCAAGUAUACAUCAAUAAAAAAAAACACAUAAAAAAAAUGAAGAGAGUCCCCUGGUAGCUCGGUGGGUUAAGGAUCUGGUGUUGUCACUGCUGUGGCUCUGGUGGUUGCUAUGGCACAGCUGUAACCCCUGGCCUGGAAACUUGUGCAUGACGCCAGUAACAGCCAAGAAAGAAAGAAAGAAAGAAAGGGAAUUUCCCAUUCCAAAUAGAAAGUACUAUUUAAAAACUUUUUGUCUUUUGGUGGAAUAUAUGUAUUGUUUGCUGACUGACUCUCGCCUUAGCUGUAGAAGUUCUGGCGGACAUGAACUCUGCUUUCCAGACUGGAAACUUCUUUUCCUCCAGGUCAUUCAAAUUAUAUUCUCUCCGUUGACUUGUGGAUUUCUUGGAGUAUUUCAAAUUGCAGUUCCUUUCAUCAUAGGUUUCUUUUACAUCUUCUACUGCAAGACUAUUUUUUUUUACCUUUUUAAAGAUACAGCCGAGAGAGAAUUCUAUGAAGCCAAAAAGCAUUUCGUUUUAGCAGAACAGAAGUGGGUUAGGCCUUAAGGCGGAGUUGGGGUUUGCCUGGCCCCAGGGCUCCCCACUUAACUCAAGCUGGCCGGCUCCUUCUCUAGAUCCCUGUUCCCUCUGGUCAGUUUAUUGCCACCGAAAAGGAAGCCGAACUAAAGCCAGGGCUCUACUGCUGUUCGAUGCGAUGACUAACUUGGGGCUAAUUCACUGCAUUCCUGAAGUUGACUCACUCCCAUCCAAAACCCUUGGGCUGGGGCUGGAACUCAGCUCGGGCUUUCCAAGGAGCUGCUCCUGUGAGCCCGCCUUAGACGACCUCAUCUGGACCAGCCUGGGGUUGGCCUCCACCUCGGGAACCUGAGUAUAGCUUGUUCUAGAGCAAGUUGAUGUUUAAAAAGGCUUAGACUGGAGUUUCCAUUGUGGCUCAGUGGGUUAAGGACCCAAUGUUGUCUCUUUGAGGAUGUGGGUCCAAUCCCUGGCCUCACUCAGUGAGUCAAGGAUCUGGCAUUGCCUCAAACGGCUUCACAGAUCACAGAUGUGGCUCAGAUCUGGUGUCGCCAUGGCUGUGGCAUAGGCUGCAGCUGCAGCUCUGAUUCAACCUCCAGGCUGGAAACCUCCACAUGCCACAGGUGUGUCUGUAAAAAAAAAAAAAAAAAAAAA